AAUAUCAAAGGUGAGCCAGUACAGGAUGGACCCGCGUCUGAUUAGCUAGUUGGUAAGGUAACGGCUUACCAAGGCGACGAUCAGUAGCCGACCUGAGAGGGUGAUCGGCCACAUUGGAACUGAGACACGGUCCAAACUCCUACGGGAGGCAGCAGGGGGGAAUAUUGCACAAUGGGCGAAAGCCUGAUGCAGCAACGCCGCGUGAGUGAUGAAGGCCUUCGGGUCGUAAAACUCUGUCCUCAAGGAAGAUAAUGACGGUACUUGAGGAGGAAGCCCCGGCUAACUACGUGCCAGCAGCCGCGGUAAUACGUAGGGGGCUAGCGUUAUCCGGA
Molecule: ribosomal RNA, 332 nt
Filed under: Clostridioides difficile
Lineage: Bacteria; Bacillati; Bacillota; Clostridia; Peptostreptococcales; Peptostreptococcaceae
Description: bacterial SSU rRNA
Rfam family: Bacterial small subunit ribosomal RNA
Source: RNAcentral